This 7989-nucleotide long non-coding RNA is filed under the name Capsicum annuum. RNAcentral's name for it is "long non-coding RNA (CANN_LNC018249)". The record is from RNAcentral. Lineage: Eukaryota; Viridiplantae; Streptophyta; Magnoliopsida; Solanales; Solanaceae.
AUAAACCUCCCUAGUAAGAGUACAGGAUAUCAACCGCAGUCACUGAGCUCCAGGUUGCUUCGGGGCUUUGAGUCUUAUCAUAUCUUUUUGCAUUGUAUAGUAUCUUAUCAUGAGGCGGGGCCUGUCCCGACCCUUAUAAGAUAACGUUUCUUGUCUAGAGGCUUUGUAGACUACGUAAAGUAUAGUAUGGUCAUGUAUCGUACCGUAGACAUUGUGGCUCCAACGGCCUAGUCAUAUAAUAUCUUUUGGCUUGCUAGUCCUAUUUAUCUUUUGAGGGCAUGUUUAGUAUGAAAGUAACUUAUAAUGUUCAUAGGUAAUGUAUCGCUACAGGUUGGUUCUCCCGAGCCUUACCGGCAACGGGUGCCAGUCCGCCUUAAUAGGAUUUGGGGCGUGACAAUACUGAUCCAACAGAUAACUCAUUUUGCAAAAGAUGAGUGAUCUAUUUUAGUAGAUAAGUGAUAUGUUUUUAUUAUUUCUAAUGGAUUACUUAUUUUCUGCAACAGGUUGGUUAUAGGUUGCAACAGAUAAACUACAUGGUGCAACAGAUGAGUGAUCUAUUUUUAUUAUUUUCAAAGGAUUGCUCAUCUGCUGUAACAGGUAGGUUAUAAGUUGCAACAGAAAACCUACUUGGUACAACCGAUGAGUGAUCUAUUUUUAUUAUUUUCAAAGGAUUGCUCAUCUGCUGUAACAGGUAGGUUAUAAGUUGCAACAGAAAACCUACUUGGUACAACCGAUGAGUGAUCUAUUUUUAUUAUUUUCAAAGGAUUGCUCAUCUGCUGUAACAGGUAGGUUAUAAGUUGCAACAGAAAACCUACUUGGUACAACCGAUGAGUGAUCUAUUUUUAUUAUUUUCAAAGGAUUGCUCAUCUGCUGUAACAGGUAGGUUAUAAGUUGCAACAGAAAACCUACUUGGUACAACCGAUGAGUGAUCUAUUUUUAUUAUUUUCAAAGGAUUGCUCAUCUGCUGUAACAGGUAGGUUAUAAGUUGCAACAGAAAACCUACUUGGUACAACCGAUGAGUGAUCUAUUUUUAUUAUUUUCAAAGGAUUGCUCAUCUGCUGUAACAGGUAGGUUAUAAGUUGCAACAGAAAACCUACUUGGUACAACCGAUGAGUGAUCUAUUUUUAUUAUUUUCAAAGGAUUGCUCAUCUGCUGUAACAGGUAGGUUAUAAGUUGCAACAGAAAACCUACUUGGUACAACCGAUGAGUGAUCUAUUUUUAUUAUUUUCAAAGGAUUGCUCAUCUGCUGUAACAGGUAGGUUAUAAGUUGCAACAGAAAACCUACUUGGUACAACCGAUGAGUGAUCUAUUUUUAUUAUUUUCAAAGGAUUGCUCAUCUGCUGUAACAGGUAGGUUAUAAGUUGCAACAGAAAACCUACUUGGUACAACCGAUGAGUGAUCUAUUUUUAUUAUUUUCAAAGGAUUGCUCAUCUGCUGUAACAGGUAGGUUAUAAGUUGCAACAGAAAACCUACUUGGUACAACCGAUGAGUGAUCUAUUUUUAUUAUUUUCAAAGGAUUGCUCAUCUGCUGUAACAGGUAGGUUAUAAGUUGCAACAGAAAACCUACUUGGUACAACCGAUGAGUGAUCUAUUUUUAUUAUUUUCAAAGGAUUGCUCAUCUGCUGUAACAGGUAGGUUAUAAGUUGCAACAGAAAACCUACUUGGUACAACCGAUGAGUGAUCUAUUUUUAUUAUUUUCAAAGGAUUGCUCAUCUGCUGUAACAGGUAGGUUAUAAGUUGCAACAGAAAACCUACUUGGUACAACCGAUGAGUGAUCUAUUUUUAUUAUUUUCAAAGGAUUGCUCAUCUGCUGUAACAGGUAGGUUAUAAGUUGCAACAGAAAACCUACUUGGUACAACCGAUGAGUGAUCUAUUUUUAUUAUUUUCAAAGGAUUGCUCAUCUGCUGUAACAGGUAGGUUAUAAGUUGCAACAGAAAACCUACUUGGUACAACCGAUGAGUGAUCUAUUUUUAUUAUUUUCAAAGGAUUGCUCAUCUGCUGUAACAGGUAGGUUAUAAGUUGCAACAGAAAACCUACUUGGUACAACCGAUGAGUGAUCUAUUUUUAUUAUUUUCAAAGGAUUGCUCAUCUGCUGUAACAGGUAGGUUAUAAGUUGCAACAGAAAACCUACUUGGUACAACCGAUGAGUGAUCUAUUUUUAUUAUUUUCAAAGGAUUGCUCAUCUGCUGUAACAGGUAGGUUAUAAGUUGCAACAGAAAACCUACUUGGUACAACCGAUGAGUGAUCUAUUUUUAUUAUUUUCAAAGGAUUGCUCAUCUGCUGUAACAGGUAGGUUAUAAGUUGCAACAGAAAACCUACUUGGUACAACCGAUGAGUGAUCUAUUUUUAUUAUUUUCAAAGGAUUGCUCAUCUGCUGUAACAGGUAGGUUAUAAGUUGCAACAGAAAACCUACUUGGUACAACCGAUGAGUGAUCUAUUUUUAUUAUUUUCAAAGGAUUGCUCAUCUGCUGUAACAGGUAGGUUAUAAGUUGCAACAGAAAACCUACUUGGUACAACCGAUGAGUGAUCUAUUUUUAUUAUUUUCAAAGGAUUGCUCAUCUGCUGUAACAGGUAGGUUAUAAGUUGCAACAGAAAACCUACUUGGUACAACCGAUGAGUGAUCUAUUUUUAUUAUUUUCAAAGGAUUGCUCAUCUGCUGUAACAGGUAGGUUAUAAGUUGCAACAGAAAACCUACUUGGUACAACCGAUGAGUGAUCUAUUUUUAUUAUUUUCAAAGGAUUGCUCAUCUGCUGUAACAGGUAGGUUAUAAGUUGCAACAGAAAACCUACUUGGUACAACCGAUGAGUGAUCUAUUUUUAUUAUUUUCAAAGGAUUGCUCAUCUGCUGUAACAGGUAGGUUAUAAGUUGCAACAGAAAACCUACUUGGUACAACCGAUGAGUGAUCUAUUUUUAUUAUUUUCAAAGGAUUGCUCAUCUGCUGUAACAGGUAGGUUAUAAGUUGCAACAGAAAACCUACUUGGUACAACCGAUGAGUGAUCUAUUUUUAUUAUUUUCAAAGGAUUGCUCAUCUGCUGUAACAGGUAGGUUAUAAGUUGCAACAGAAAACCUACUUGGUACAACCGAUGAGUGAUCUAUUUUUAUUAUUUUCAAAGGAUUGCUCAUCUGCUGUAACAGGUAGGUUAUAAGUUGCAACAGAAAACCUACUUGGUACAACCGAUGAGUGAUCUAUUUUUAUUAUUUUCAAAGGAUUGCUCAUCUGCUGUAACAGGUAGGUUAUAAGUUGCAACAGAAAACCUACUUGGUACAACCGAUGAGUGAUCUAUUUUUAUUAUUUUCAAAGGAUUGCUCAUCUGCUGUAACAGGUAGGUUAUAAGUUGCAACAGAAAACCUACUUGGUACAACCGAUGAGUGAUCUAUUUUUAUUAUUUUCAAAGGAUUGCUCAUCUGCUGUAACAGGUAGGUUAUAAGUUGCAACAGAAAACCUACUUGGUACAACCGAUGAGUGAUCUAUUUUUAUUAUUUUCAAAGGAUUGCUCAUCUGCUGUAACAGGUAGGUUAUAAGUUGCAACAGAAAACCUACUUGGUACAACCGAUGAGUGAUCUAUUUUUAUUAUUUUCAAAGGAUUGCUCAUCUGCUGUAACAGGUAGGUUAUAAGUUGCAACAGAAAACCUACUUGGUACAACCGAUGAGUGAUCUAUUUUUAUUAUUUUCAAAGGAUUGCUCAUCUGCUGUAACAGGUAGGUUAUAAGUUGCAACAGAAAACCUACUUGGUACAACCGAUGAGUGAUCUAUUUUUAUUAUUUUCAAAGGAUUGCUCAUCUGCUGUAACAGGUAGGUUAUAAGUUGCAACAGAAAACCUACUUGGUACAACCGAUGAGUGAUCUAUUUUUAUUAUUUUCAAAGGAUUGCUCAUCUGCUGUAACAGGUAGGUUAUAAGUUGCAACAGAAAACCUACUUGGUACAACCGAUGAGUGAUCUAUUUUUAUUAUUUUCAAAGGAUUGCUCAUCUGCUGUAACAGGUAGGUUAUAAGUUGCAACAGAAAACCUACUUGGUACAACCGAUGAGUGAUCUAUUUUUAUUAUUUUCAAAGGAUUGCUCAUCUGCUGUAACAGGUAGGUUAUAAGUUGCAACAGAAAACCUACUUGGUACAACCGAUGAGUGAUCUAUUUUUAUUAUUUUCAAAGGAUUGCUCAUCUGCUGUAACAGGUAGGUUAUAAGUUGCAACAGAAAACCUACUUGGUACAACCGAUGAGUGAUCUAUUUUUAUUAUUUUCAAAGGAUUGCUCAUCUGCUGUAACAGGUAGGUUAUAAGUUGCAACAGAAAACCUACUUGGUACAACCGAUGAGUGAUCUAUUUUUAUUAUUUUCAAAGGAUUGCUCAUCUGCUGUAACAGGUAGGUUAUAAGUUGCAACAGAAAACCUACUUGGUACAACCGAUGAGUGAUCUAUUUUUAUUAUUUUCAAAGGAUUGCUCAUCUGCUGUAACAGGUAGGUUAUAAGUUGCAACAGAAAACCUACUUGGUACAACCGAUGAGUGAUCUAUUUUUAUUAUUUUCAAAGGAUUGCUCAUCUGCUGUAACAGGUAGGUUAUAAGUUGCAACAGAAAACCUACUUGGUACAACCGAUGAGUGAUCUAUUUUUAUUAUUUUCAAAGGAUUGCUCAUCUGCUGUAACAGGUAGGUUAUAAGUUGCAACAGAAAACCUACUUGGUACAACCGAUGAGUGAUCUAUUUUUAUUAUUUUCAAAGGAUUGCUCAUCUGCUGUAACAGGUAGGUUAUAAGUUGCAACAGAAAACCUACUUGGUACAACCGAUGAGUGAUCUAUUUUUAUUAUUUUCAAAGGAUUGCUCAUCUGCUGUAACAGGUAGGUUAUAAGUUGCAACAGAAAACCUACUUGGUACAACCGAUGAGUGAUCUAUUUUUAUUAUUUUCAAAGGAUUGCUCAUCUGCUGUAACAGGUAGGUUAUAAGUUGCAACAGAAAACCUACUUGGUACAACCGAUGAGUGAUCUAUUUUUAUUAUUUUCAAAGGAUUGCUCAUCUGCUGUAACAGGUAGGUUAUAAGUUGCAACAGAAAACCUACUUGGUACAACCGAUGAGUGAUCUAUUUUUAUUAUUUUCAAAGGAUUGCUCAUCUGCUGUAACAGGUAGGUUAUAAGUUGCAACAGAAAACCUACUUGGUACAACCGAUGAGUGAUCUAUUUUUAUUAUUUUCAAAGGAUUGCUCAUCUGCUGUAACAGGUAGGUUAUAAGUUGCAACAGAAAACCUACUUGGUACAACCGAUGAGUGAUCUAUUUUUAUUAUUUUCAAAGGAUUGCUCAUCUGCUGUAACAGGUAGGUUAUAAGUUGCAACAGAAAACCUACUUGGUACAACCGAUGAGUGAUCUAUUUUUAUUAUUUUCAAAGGAUUGCUCAUCUGCUGUAACAGGUAGGUUAUAAGUUGCAACAGAAAACCUACUUGGUACAACCGAUGAGUGAUCUAUUUUUAUUAUUUUCAAAGGAUUGCUCAUCUGCUGUAACAGGUAGGUUAUAAGUUGCAACAGAAAACCUACUUGGUACAACCGAUGAGUGAUCUAUUUUUAUUAUUUUCAAAGGAUUGCUCAUCUGCUGUAACAGGUAGGUUAUAAGUUGCAACAGAAAACCUACUUGGUACAACCGAUGAGUGAUCUAUUUUUAUUAUUUUCAAAGGAUUGCUCAUCUGCUGUAACAGGUAGGUUAUAAGUUGCAACAGAAAACCUACUUGGUACAACCGAUGAGUGAUCUAUUUUUAUUAUUUUCAAAGGAUUGCUCAUCUGCUGUAACAGGUAGGUUAUAAGUUGCAACAGAAAACCUACUUGGUACAACCGAUGAGUGAUCUAUUUUUAUUAUUUUCAAAGGAUUGCUCAUCUGCUGUAACAGGUAGGUUAUAAGUUGCAACAGAAAACCUACUUGGUACAACCGAUGAGUGAUCUAUUUUUAUUAUUUUCAAAGGAUUGCUCAUCUGCUGUAACAGGUAGGUUAUAAGUUGCAACAGAAAACCUACUUGGUACAACCGAUGAGUGAUCUAUUUUUAUUAUUUUCAAAGGAUUGCUCAUCUGCUGUAACAGGUAGGUUAUAAGUUGCAACAGAAAACCUACUUGGUACAACCGAUGAGUGAUCUAUUUUUAUUAUUUUCAAAGGAUUGCUCAUCUGCUGUAACAGGUAGGUUAUAAGUUGCAACAGAAAACCUACUUGGUACAACCGAUGAGUGAUCUAUUUUUAUUAUUUUCAAAGGAUUGCUCAUCUGCUGUAACAGGUAGGUUAUAAGUUGCAACAGAAAACCUACUUGGUACAACCGAUGAGUGAUCUAUUUUUAUUAUUUUCAAAGGAUUGCUCAUCUGCUGUAACAGGUAGGUUAUAAGUUGCAACAGAAAACCUACUUGGUACAACCGAUGAGUGAUCUAUUUUUAUUAUUUUCAAAGGAUUGCUCAUCUGCUGUAACAGGUAGGUUAUAAGUUGCAACAGAAAACCUACUUGGUACAACCGAUGAGUGAUCUAUUUUUAUUAUUUUCAAAGGAUUGCUCAUCUGCUGUAACAGGUAGGUUAUAAGUUGCAACAGAAAACCUACUUGGUACAACCGAUGAGUGAUCUAUUUUUAUUAUUUUCAAAGGAUUGCUCAUCUGCUGUAACAGGUAGGUUAUAAGUUGCAACAGAAAACCUACUUGGUACAACCGAUGAGUGAUCUAUUUUUAUUAUUUUCAAAGGAUUGCUCAUCUGCUGUAACAGGUAGGUUAUAAGUUGCAACAGAAAACCUACUUGGUACAACCGAUGAGUGAUCUAUUUUUAUUAUUUUCAAAGGAUUGCUCAUCUGCUGUAACAGGUAGGUUAUAAGUUGCAACAGAAAACCUACUUGGUACAACCGAUGAGUGAUCUAUUUUUAUUAUUUUCAAAGGAUUGCUCAUCUGCUGUAACAGGUAGGUUAUAAGUUGCAACAGAAAACCUACUUGGUACAACCGAUGAGUGAUCUAUUUUUAUUAUUUUCAAAGGAUUGCUCAUCUGCUGUAACAGGUAGGUUAUAAGUUGCAACAGAAAACCUACUUGGUACAACCGAUGAGUGAUCUAUUUUUAUUAUUUUCAAAGGAUUGCUCAUCUGCUGUAACAGGUAGGUUAUAAGUUGCAACAGAAAACCUACUUGGUACAACCGAUGAGUGAUCUAUUUUUAUUAUUUUCAAAGGAUUGCUCAUCUGCUGUAACAGGUAGGUUAUAAGUUGCAACAGAAAACCUACUUGGUACAACCGAUGAGUGAUCUAUUUUUAUUAUUUUCAAAGGAUUGCUCAUCUGCUGUAACAGGUAGGUUAUAAGUUGCAACAGAAAACCUACUUGGUACAACCGAUGAGUGAUCUAUUUUUAUUAUUUUCAAAGGAUUGCUCAUCUGCUGUAACAGGUAGGUUAUAAGUUGCAACAGAAAACCUACUUGGUACAACCGAUGAGUGAUCUAUUUUUAUUAUUUUCAAAGGAUUGCUCAUCUGCUGUAACAGGUAGGUUAUAAGUUGCAACAGAAAACCUACUUGGUACAACCGAUGAGUGAUCUAUUUUUAUUAUUUUCAAAGGAUUGCUCAUCUGCUGUAACAGGUAGGUUAUAAGUUGCAACAGAAAACCUACUUGGUACAACCGAUGAGUGAUCUAUUUUUAUUAUUUUCAAAGGAUUGCUCAUCUGCUGUAACAGGUAGGUUAUAGUACAUGGUUUCAUUUGAGUUUUUAUCUCAUAUAUUACAUAUUGCCUUACAUAUUCAGUACAUUAUUUCGUACUGACGUCCCUCUUGGGGGACCUGCAUUCCAUGCUGCAGGUACAGAAGCUAAUACACCUCCCUAGUAAGAGUACAGGAUAAUCAACCGCAGUCACUGAGCUCCAGGUUGCUUCGGGGCUUUGAGUCCUAUCAUAUCUUUUUGCAUUGUAUAGUAUCUUAUCAUGAGGCGGGGCCUGUCCCGACCCUUAUAAGAUAACGUUUCUUGUCUAGAGGCUUUGUAGACUACGUAAAGUAUAGUAUGGUCAUGUAUCGUACCGUAG